This 206-nucleotide long non-coding RNA is filed under the name Lathyrus oleraceus (garden pea). Its description in RNAcentral is "Pisum sativum (pea) long non-coding RNA (PSAT_LNC042158)". Lineage: Eukaryota; Viridiplantae; Streptophyta; Magnoliopsida; Fabales; Fabaceae. The record is from RNAcentral.
AACAUAUAGGAUCGUAAGUUAGCAUCUUAAUUCUAUUAGAGAUUUAGGUUAGUUGAAAUUUGGUAUUGAAAAAUUUAUAGCUUUGAAAUGAAUGAGCCACUGUUAGUUUGUUCUUUGUUGACAGUUAAAUCAAAGUUGGGUUAGUGUAGUUAGGAUGGUUGAAACUAGUUAUAAUUUGUCAAAUGAUGCAUGUAAGAAGUGAAGAA